GGCACGGUACGCGGUAAUACUGGCAGAACGAGUGGUGCCCACGAAUAUUGGGUUUAAAGAGACCGUAGCUGGUCUGCUAAGUUCGCUGUGAAAUCUUGGGGCUUAACCUCAAGGCGUGCAGCAAAUACUGGCGGACUUGAGAGCGGGGGAGGCCGGGAGUACUUACGGGGUAAGGGUAAAAUCUCGUAAUCCUGUAAGGACUACCAGUGGCGAAGGCGCCCGGCCAAAACGCGUCUGACAGUGAGGGUCGAAGGCUAGGAGAACGAAUCGGAUUAGAUACCCGAGUAGCCCUAGCAGUAAAUUAUGCAGACUUGGUGUCGCGGCUGCUUCGAGCAGCCGCGGUGCUGUAGAGUAAUUGUUAAGUCUGCCACCUGGGGAGUACGGCCGCAAGGUUGAAACUUAAAGGAAUUGGCGGGGGGAGCACA
Molecule: ribosomal RNA, 425 nt
Filed under: uncultured euryarchaeote
Lineage: Archaea; Methanobacteriati; Methanobacteriota
Description: bacterial SSU rRNA
Rfam family: Archaeal small subunit ribosomal RNA
Source: RNAcentral